RNAcentral lists this non-coding RNA (85 nucleotides) under Halalkalibacter akibai. RNAcentral's name for it is "Bacillus akibai c-di-GMP sequence". It matches the Rfam family "c-di-GMP-I riboswitch aptamer". Rfam says of the family: GEMM was predicted in a large-scale screen for bacterial structured RNA regulatory elements. Genes associated with GEMM are involved in a diverse array of functions, including chemotaxis regulation, signal transduction, secretion and chitin. Lineage: Bacteria; Bacillati; Bacillota; Bacilli; Caryophanales; Bacillaceae. RNAcentral also lists the same sequence under 1 other name. The record is from RNAcentral.
AUAAAGAAAAGGCAAAUCUAUUGAAAAGUAGAGACGCAAAGUCACAGGUCUAAGGUCAAAUGACUAGGACGGCUGGGUUACCGAA